This 468-nucleotide ribosomal RNA is filed under the name uncultured bacterium. RNAcentral's name for it is "partial 16S ribosomal RNA". It matches the Rfam family "Bacterial small subunit ribosomal RNA", at positions 28 to 507 of the family's 1533-position model. The record is from RNAcentral.
GACGAACGCUGGCGGCGUGCUUAACACAUGCAAGUCGAACGGAAAGGCCCUGCUUUUGUGGGGUGCUCGAGUGGCGAACGGGUGAGUAACACGUGAGUAACCUGCCCUUGACUUUGGGAUAACUUCAGGAAACUGGGGCUAAUACCGGAUAGGAGCUCCUGCUGCAUGGUGGGGGUUGGAAAGUUUCGGCGGUUGGGGAUGGACUCGCGGCUUAUCAGCUUGUUGGUGGGGUAGUGGCUUACCAAGGCUUUGACGGGUAGCCGGCCUGAGAGGGUGACCGGCGACAUUGGGACUGAGAUACGGCCCAGUCUCCUACGGGAGGCAGAAGUGGGGAAUAUUGCACAAUGGGCGGAAGCCUGAUGCAGCAACGCCGCGUGCGGGAUGACGGCCUUCGGGUUGUAAACCGCUUUCGCCUGUGACGAAGCGUGAGUGACGGUAAUGGGUAAAGAAGCACCGGCUAACUACGUG